RNAcentral lists this ribosomal RNA (253 nucleotides) under uncultured bacterium. RNAcentral describes it as "partial 16S ribosomal RNA". It matches the Rfam family "Bacterial small subunit ribosomal RNA", at positions 524 to 776 of the family's 1533-position model. The record is from RNAcentral.
UACGUAGGGUGCGAGCGUUGUCCGGAAUUACUGGGCGUAAAGAGCUCGUAGGCGGCUUGUCGCGUUGUUCGUGAAAAUUUACCGCUCAACGGUGAACUUGCGGGCGAUACGGGCAGGCUAGAGUACUGCAGGGGAGACUGGAAUUCCUGGUGUAGCGGUGAAAUGCGCAGAUAUCAGGAGGAACACCGGUGGCGAAGGCGGGUCUCUGGACAGUUCCUGACGCUGAGGCACGAAGGCCAGGGGAGCAAACGGG